GAUGAAGAACGCAGCGAAAUGCGAUAAGUAAUGUGAAUUGCAGAAUUCAGUGAAUCAUCGAAUCUUUGAACGCACAUUGCGCCCGCCAGUAUUCUGGCGGGCAUGCCUGUCCGAGCGUCAUUUCAACCCUCGAACCCCUCCGGGGGGUCGGCGUUGGGGAUCGGCCCCUCACCGGGCCGCCCCCGAAAUCCAGUGGCGGUCUCGCCGCAGCCUCUCCUGCGCAGUAGCUUGCACACUCGCACCGGGAGCGCGGCGCGGCCACAGCCGUAAAACACCCCAAACUCUGAAAUGUUGACCUCGGAUCAGGUAGGAAUACCCGCUGAACUUAAGCAUAUCAAUAAGCGGAGGA
Molecule: unclassified non-coding RNA, 349 nt
Filed under: soil metagenome
Description: partial contains 5.8S ribosomal RNA, internal transcribed spacer 2, and large subunit ribosomal RNA
Rfam family: 5.8S ribosomal RNA (bases 1-120)
Source: RNAcentral